This 73-nucleotide transfer RNA is filed under the name Fasciola hepatica (liver fluke). It matches the Rfam family "tRNA". From Rfam's summary of the family: Transfer RNA (tRNA) molecules are approximately 80 nucleotides in length. The record is from Rfam by way of RNAcentral. Lineage: Eukaryota; Metazoa; Platyhelminthes; Trematoda; Plagiorchiida; Fasciolidae.
ACCGAGAUAGCUCAGCUGGUGGAGCAUCGGCCCGGUCUGCGGAGGGUCUCCGGUUCGAUUCCGGGUCGCGGCG